AACGAACGCUGGCGGCAUGCCUAACACAUGCGAGUCGAACGAGACCUUCGGGUCUAGUGGCGCACGGGUGCGUAACGCGUGGGAACCUGCCCUUAGGUUCGGAAUAACUCCCCGAAAGGGGUGCUAAUACCGGAUAAUGUCUUCGGACCAAAGAUUUAUCGCCUUUGGAUGGGCCCGCGUUGGAUUAGCUAGUUGGUAGGGUAAAAGCCUACCAAGGCGACGAUCCAUAGCUGGUCUGAGAGGAUGAUCAGCCACACUGGGACUGAGACACGGCCCAGACUCCUACGGGAGGCAGCAGUGGGGAAUAUUGGACAAUGGGCGAAAGCCUGAUCCAGCAAUGCCGCGUGAGUGAUGAAGGCCUUAGGGUUGUAAAGCUCUUUUACCCGGGAUGAUAAUGACAGUACCGUGAGAAUAAGCGCCGGCUAACUCCGUG
This 433-nucleotide ribosomal RNA is filed under the name uncultured bacterium. Its description in RNAcentral is "partial 16S ribosomal RNA". It matches the Rfam family "Bacterial small subunit ribosomal RNA", at positions 29 to 507 of the family's 1533-position model. The record is from RNAcentral.